Molecule: ribosomal RNA, 543 nt
Filed under: uncultured bacterium
Lineage: Bacteria
Description: partial 16S ribosomal RNA
Rfam family: Bacterial small subunit ribosomal RNA
Source: RNAcentral
UGGGGAAUUUUGGACAAUGGGCGCAAGCCUGAUCCAGCCAUGCCGCGUGCGGGAAGAAGGCCUUCGGGUUGUAAACCGCUUUUGUCAGGGAAGAAAUCUUCUGAGUUAAUACCUCGGGAGGAUGACGGUACCUGAAGAAUAAGCACCGGCUAACUACGUGCCAGCAGCCGCGGUAAUACGUAGGGUGCAAGCGUUAAUCGGAAUUACUGGGCGUAAAGCGUGCGCAGGCGGUUUUGUAAGACAGAGGUGAAAUCCCCGGGCUCAACCUGGGAACUGCCUUUGUGACUGCAAGGCUUGAGUGCGGCAGAGGGGGGAUGGAAUUCCGCGUGUAGCAGUGAAAUGCGUAGAUAUGCGGAGGAACACCGAUGGCGAAGGCAAUCCCCUGGGCCUGCACUGACGCUCAUGCACGAAAGCGUGGGGAGCAAAACAGGAUUAGAUCCCUGGUAGUCCACGCCCUAAAACGAUGUCAACUGGUUGUUGGGAAGGUUCCUUCUCAGUAACGUAGCUAACGCGUGAAGUUGACCGCCUGGGGAGUACGGCCGC